Molecule: long non-coding RNA, 1145 nt
Organism: Lates calcarifer (barramundi perch)
Lineage: Eukaryota; Metazoa; Chordata; Actinopteri; Centropomidae
Exons: 3
Source: RefSeq, a predicted model, not a curated record
UUGCUGAUUGGACAGUUUACUCAAAGAGGAGGUUGAAAUAAUCAGUAUAACUGCUGAUACACUGAAGAAAACACAAUGAUUGAUUUCAACAAGAUCAUAAAACACUCAGAGAAAACAAAAUGAUUGUCGUUUUAAUAAUCAUUACUUUUAACACUGUUCUGGUUUCAGGUGCCUCUGUCAGUGACAAAGUCCAACAGACUCCAGCUGACAUUCACAAGAAACAAGGACAAACAGCCAAAAUCUACUGCUCACACAAUGAUGACAACUAUGACCAAAUCCUCUGGUACAAGAAGUCAGACAGAGAACUACAGUUCCUGGGAUACAUGUUAACAAUCUCAGGAAAACCUGCGGAUGGAGUGAAUGUAAAGAUAGAAGGGGGUGCAAGUAAAGGCCAGAAUUGCACAUUAACAAUUGAAGGACUCAGCCUGAACAACAGUGCAGUGUACUUCUGUGCUGCUAGUUACCACAGUGCUACACAUCACUGCUCCUCAGUACAAAAACCUCACUGCCACAUAUUUAAUCAGUUCACAGCUCCUUACACUUGUGCUCCCUCCUCUCAUUAGGUGGCAGUAUAUCACUGCACCACACGCUGGUUUUAACGUUAGAGGAAGAGGACAUAAUAUGACACCACCCACCUACAGAGCUCAUGUUUAUUUUACAUAUAUCAGAGUGUACUCAGGAAGGAGCUCAUUAUAACUGCUGUUACGCUGAAGAAAACAGGAUGAUUCAAAGUACCAAGAUUCAACCAAACAUUUAACCAAACACAAAAUGAUGCUCCUAUUUUCUUUUCUCAUAAUUAUGACUUUGAACACUGAUCUGGUUUCAGGUGCCUCUGUCAGUGACAAAGUCCAACAGACUCCAGCUGACAUUCACAAGAAACAAGAACAAACAGCCAAAAUCUACUGUUCACACAGUAUAGACAGCUAUAAUCGAAUCCUCUGGUACAAGCAAUUAAAGAAUGGACAGCUACAGUUCUUGGGAUACAUGUUUAAAAACACUGGAAACCCAGAAAAGGGACUGAAUGUCAGCAUGGAUGGGAGUGCAGAUAAAGGCCAGAAUUGCACAUUAACAAUUGAAGGACUCAGCCUGAGCAGCAGUGCAGUGUACUUCUGUGCUGCCAGUUACCACAGUGCUACAUAUCACUG